Phyllostomus hastatus (greater spear-nosed bat) is the source of this 408-nucleotide long non-coding RNA. RefSeq lists it as uncharacterized. Lineage: Eukaryota; Metazoa; Chordata; Mammalia; Chiroptera; Phyllostomidae. The transcript is spliced from 3 exons. The record is from RefSeq and is a predicted model, not a curated record.
GCACACGGCACGUGGCUGCCUCACCUUCGGUGGUCGAGGGUGCGGUUCCCACCCUGGGAGCAGACUUCGCCGUUAUGGGCGCUGCCCUGGGGGCAUGCGGCGUGGAUGCCACCGGAUGCACCGUGCAAACAGCGGCCUUCCUCUGUAUCGACUGGGCAAGGUCCCAGUCCUGUGGGUGAACACGUCGCUUUACGGCAGCGUGUGGGCUCCGAUGAGAGAGGAGGGUGGAGAGAGACACAUGGAUCUGAGAGAGAAACGCAGACUGGCUGCCUCCCGUUCAUGCCCUGACCGGGGAUGGAACCCGCAACCCGGUGUGUGCCCUGACCGGGGAUCAAACCUGCAGACUUUCAGUUAUGGGACGAAGCUCUGGCCACCUGAGUCACACCAGCCAGGGCUCUGUGCACUUGG